Molecule: ribosomal RNA, 122 nt
Organism: Lepisosteus oculatus (spotted gar)
Lineage: Eukaryota; Metazoa; Chordata; Actinopteri; Semionotiformes; Lepisosteidae
Source: Rfam
GCCAGCAGCCAUAUCACCCUGCAGUUCUCAACUGGCUACCCACUGAUGCCAAGCAGGGUUGAGUCUGGUCAGUACCUGGAUGGGAGAUCCCCUGGGAAGCUACAGUAUGGUUGCUGCUGGAA